UGGGGAAUUUUGGACAAUGGGCGAAAGCCUGAUCCAGCAAUGCCGCGUGUGUGAAGAAGGCCUUCGGGUUGUAAAGCACUUUUGUCCGGAAAGAAAUCCUUGGCUCUAAUACAGUCGGGGGAUGACGGUACCGGAAGAAUAAGCACCGGCUAACUACGUGCCAGCAGCCGCGGUAAUACGUAGGGUGCAAGCGUUAAUCGGAAUUACUGGGCGUAAAGCGUGCGCAGGCGGUUUGCUAAGACCGAUGUGAAGUCCCCGGGCUCAACCUGGGAACUGCAUUGGUGACUGGCAGGCUAGAGUAUGGCAGAGGGGGGUAGAAUUCCACGUGUAGCAGUGAAAUGCGUAGAGAUGUGGAGGAAUACCGAUGGCGAAGGCAGCCCCCUGGGCCAAUACUGACGCUCAUGCACGAAAGCGUGGGGAGCAAACAGGAUUAGAUACCCUGGUAGUCCACGCCCUAAACGAUGUCAACUAGUUGUUGGGGAUUCAUUUCCUUAGUAACGUAGCUAACGCGUGAAGUUGACCGCCUGGGGGAGUACGGUCGCAAGAUUAAAACUCAAAGGAAUUGAC
This 567-nucleotide ribosomal RNA is filed under the name uncultured bacterium. Its description in RNAcentral is "partial 16S ribosomal RNA". It matches the Rfam family "Bacterial small subunit ribosomal RNA", at positions 355 to 914 of the family's 1533-position model. The record is from RNAcentral.